CGGCGAACGGUCGAGUAACACGUAAGCAACCUGCCCUGCAGUGGGGGAUAACAGCGGGAAACUGCUGCUAAUACCGCAUAGGCAUAUCUCUGGGCAUCCAGGGAUGUGUAAAGGCUAGACUGCUGCAGGAGGGGCUUGCGGCCUAUUAGCUAGUCGGUGGGGUAACGGCCUACCGAGGCGACGAUGGGUAGCUGGUCUGAGAGGAUGGUCAGCCGGAUCGGGACUGAGACACGGCUCGGACUCCUACGGGGGGCAGCAAUCAGGAAUAUUGCGCAAUGGGGGAAACCCUGACGCAGCGACGCCGCGUGCGGGAUGAAGGCCUUCGGGUCGUAAACCGCUGUUGUGGGAGACGAAUGACUGUCGAUGAGGCAGUGGAGACGGUAUCUCACGAGGAAGCCCCGGCUAACUACGUGCCAGCAGCCGCGGUAAUACGUAGGGGGCGAGCGUUGUCCGAAGUUACUGGGCGUA
RNAcentral lists this ribosomal RNA (468 nucleotides) under uncultured bacterium. RNAcentral's name for it is "bacterial SSU rRNA". It matches the Rfam family "Bacterial small subunit ribosomal RNA", at positions 96 to 562 of the family's 1533-position model. The record is from RNAcentral.